Molecule: long non-coding RNA, 299 nt
Organism: Xiphophorus couchianus (Monterrey platyfish)
Lineage: Eukaryota; Metazoa; Chordata; Actinopteri; Cyprinodontiformes; Poeciliidae
Exons: 2
Source: RefSeq, a predicted model, not a curated record
AUCGACCUUUCGUCUCCUCAGAUCGGAGUCGUUGAUGUUGAGGACGCUGACAGCGUGUGGAUGGACAUGGAUGAUCAGGAUGACAUGCCGACGGCCGAAGAGCUGGAGCAGUGGAUAGAAGAUGAUCUGUCUGGGAAGAUCGAUCCUGAUGAUGAUGAUGAUGAUGACGAUGAAGACGACGACGAUGAUGAAGAAUAAUUAAUGUUUUCGUCACUUUGCCGUAAACUAAAACAUCUGGCAGCAAAGAGACUCGCCUGUUUGAACCUCACAUGUUUCUGUCAGGAUUGGGUUUUUUCUGG